AUGUAUACCUGCAGCACAGCAGCCAUUCCUUCCAGUGGCUCACUUGUGGCUACCCAUGACUACUAUCCAGGAUGCCUGGACUCCUCGUCCAGCAACAACUCUGGCAGAAGUGCCAUGUACCCAGGGGACACCGUGCUCCACUCUCCCCUGGUCUUCCCAAGGCUGACCCUGGUCACUGGUAGGCCAGCUUCUUUUUCGGGAAAUCCACCCUCCCAUUCAUGGCCACAGUGUUGGAGUCGCCUGAGCACUCAGCAGAAUCUCCCCAGGCCUCCAGAAGCCCAAUCGCCUGUGGCUUGGCUCCUAAAACCAUGAAGAAGGAGCCAGUCAUCCAUCCUGGCCAGACCAACACCAGGGCCCAGUCCUGACCUGUUGGCAAAAGCAGCCUGCCCAAGUUUAAGUGGUGCUAGGCCAGAGCCCACCCUCUCAAUCCUCCCUGUAAACUAGGAAGGCUGAACAACAGACACCAGCAGAAGCUGGAGAGAGCUCCCUCUUGAUUCACAGCACAGUUUUCCUGACCCCAUAACUGUGUCUUGCACAAAGCAGAAAAUAAACUCACAGCAGCCUCUCCCCACCAACUCCCCCCCUAAAAAAUGCUAGAUCUCUGAGAAUCUCCUCACCAACCCUUCCAAAAUGCUAGGGCUCUGAGAAGAGCUGGGUGGUUGAUUGAUUGUUGGCUGCUGUUGGUCAUGGCUUUCUAAGAAGUUGUGUGCAAAGAAGAGACAACAACAACAAUAAGAAAUUAGACAUGCAGAUGGUGAAGAUCAAACUUGCCUUAAGAAAUUCAACACCCUUCUUCAACAGUAAGUAGUUUAAUGAUGACAUUGCCUCUUUUCCGACCCUUGACUUUUUUCAGGGAUCUCUUUCCUUUUGUCUUUAUCCCUUUUCUCUCUUAUCUAGUGUUAAGGGGCUGAAAGGGUGGAGAAAAGGGACGGAGAAGGGUGGAAGAAAGAAGAACCCACAAAAUAAAGGUAGCAAACUACAGGCUAGUCAUCUCGGCACUUAGGGGAUGGAGGUCGGAAGGUCCAGGGCUCAUGAUCAUCCUCAGCCACAGAGAAUUCGAGAGCAGCACGGACUUUACAAGACAGACGCAAAAACAGUAGCAGAAAGUCAAACAGAAAAGCAUAAGAUCAAUAUGCAAAAUCAAUUGCUUUUCUGUUAUCAAGAAACAAUUAGAAAUGAAUUUUAAGGGUGUCAUUUACAGCAUCAACAAGUGCAUAAGAUUCCCCAGGCGAACUAAAAGAUGUGCAGAGCUUCAAAAGUUGGUACCUUCUGUAGCCUUUGUCAUGGCUCCCUGGCUGUCUCUGAGGCUCUCACACACAGAGUAAUUCCCAUGACUCAUGGCCAUGAUUCAUGUGUAUGAGAGGCUCAGUGGCCUUUUAUUUCUCUCCUUUGCUUUUCUCCUAUGAAACUGAAGGAAUCCAUCAAAUUGUCCCUCUGUGUCACACAGGGAGUUGGUCCUGGACCACACUCUGAAAACUGCCAAACAGCUGUGAUAGUUUGAAUGCACUUGGCCCAGGGAGUGGCACUAUUAGAUGGUGUAGUCUUGUUGGAGUAGG
Mus caroli (Ryukyu mouse) is the source of this 1556-nucleotide non-coding RNA. Lineage: Eukaryota; Metazoa; Chordata; Mammalia; Rodentia; Muridae. The record is from RefSeq and is a predicted model, not a curated record.